This is a long non-coding RNA of Hemicordylus capensis (graceful crag lizard), 8790 nucleotides long. RefSeq lists it as uncharacterized. NCBI's taxonomy places the organism in Eukaryota, Metazoa, Chordata, Lepidosauria, Squamata, Cordylidae. The record is from RefSeq and is a predicted model, not a curated record. The transcript has 5 exons.
CAGCGCCCCUAUAAUGUUAAAUACGGGCGCUGGCGGGGGCAAGGAGGCGGGAGGGCUAAGCAAGCCCUCCCCGCCCUAAAAACAAGGCCCCCCUUCGGUGCCGGUCCGGACUUCUCCGGACCGUGCACAUCCCUAGGAAGGCCCCUGACAGUGAGUAGCAGAAGAAUAGGGACCAGUUGAGUUAGAUGCAUGAGGGAAGUUAUUUUCCUUUAUUGCAUUGCUUAUAUCUGAGUUGCCUGUUUAGUGAAACUCUCUCUCUUACAAUCAUUAUUAAUAUGAGUUCUGAAGAGAAAAUUGUUCUUAUUAAGACUGUUCAGCCCUUUUAGGGAGGGUUUUGCCACUUACCCUCACGCCUGCCAGGAAUCUUAUACGGUUUCCCCACAUCAAAAUAAAGUGGAUGGCAGCAGCCUACUGUGUGAAUCCCUUAUAGGUAACGAUUCAACCCCAGUGAAUUCCCACCUCUGGCUCUGGUAGGAGCUAUGGCACCGUGUUUAUGAUUUUUUUGGCUGACAUCCUGAGUAAUGAAGCAUGAGUGCCAUGGGAGAAACACCCUCUGCUGAGGCCACCUCCAGCCACAGAGGCAAGAUGCCUCUGAGUACCAGUUGCAGGGGAGCAACAGCAGGAGAAGGGGCAUGCCCUCACCUCUUGCCUGUGGGCUCCUCAGAGGGAUUUGGUGGGCCACAGCAUAAAGCAGGAUGCUGGACUAGAUAGGCCUUCGGCCUGAUCCAGCAGGGCUCUUCUUAUGCUUCUGAAAAGUUCAAUUCACCCAGCUCCACUGCUGGUGUAAUAGCGGGGGCAAAUUUUGACAACCUCCUCUUCCCCAGAAAGCAUUCUGUGCUACCCUAAAAUAUUUCCCUGGGACAUAUUUUGUGCAGCCCUCAGGGACAUAUUUCAGGGUGGCAAAGAGCACUUCUGGUGGAAGUGGGGGGGGGUCUUUGAAGUCCCCACACUCCCCACUAGUACAGUGUUAGUCUGGAACUCUUCAGAAGUACUGAUGCUACACUGGUGCUUCUCCUGUGGCACAAGUGCUUCGUUAGUCAGGAUGUCCGCCAUAGUUUUUAUUGAAUUUGAAGGGCAGUAUAGAGAUCUAUAAAAUAAGGGAAGAAAUAACGAAUCAAUAAGUCUUUUAGAUGGCCCACUGGCCUCCUAGUGUGCCUUCACUAGCACAUAUUCCCAGAAUACUUUUUUUUAAUGGAGCAAAAAACCAGAACACCCCAUUCAGGUUCUCCAUAAGCCAACUCAGAUUAUACUUUGAAACAGCCCCUUAAAUACAUGAGGGAGGAUUGUGAGCACCUACACUUCCCUCCACCCAGCAUGUCAGCACCUAAAGCUGCUCUUUGUAUGUACUCUGUAUUGCUUUUAUGCUUUGUUUGUUUUAUAUUUUUAGUUUAAUAUUUUAAUUGUGUUUUUUUUACAAUCUUGUUUUUAAAUUUUGCUGUAAACUGCCUUGGGAUUGUUUUAAUGAAAAAUUUUAUAAAUUUAACAAUAAAAUAAAUAAAUAAAUAAAUAAAUAAAUAAAUAAAUAAAUAAAAUAAUCGUGCAGGGGUGGCAGUCUGCCUGAACCACCCCACAACACAAGCUUUUCAUACUACUUUAAAUUGCACAUUGAGGGAUGGUUCAGACAAAAUUGCACAGAGUUGGUGGUUCUGAGACUUCUUUUCCAGUGUAUGCAUAUUUAGUAUGCUGUUAUGCAAAGUGUACAUAUUUAGUGAAGAGGAUUUUAGUUUGUCAUUUCAGGUUUAUAAAUGCAAUAUUCUAAAUCUCCUGAGAAAAUUAAUGAAGAGCAUAAUACCUUCUGUAGCAACUAACUGGAAACUGAACAAAUGCUGUUAAAAAGAGAACCCUCCUGUAGAAGAAGGAGGAAGAGGAGGAUGACAGUAGUUCAGAUAUCUCCUUCUCGCUCUCAUCAGAAGCGUCUGAGAUGGAGCCUGAAGAAGAACAGAUUCGUUACAGCAAAAGACUGCCAAACAUCAACUGUACCAGACAAGUGAUUUGGAUAGAGGUGCCAUAUGCAUGACAACUUGAAAUAGCUCUUCUGGGUUUCCAAGAGUAGCUCUCUUUGAGUCCUCCCCUGGUGCCUGAGCAGAAGAGUGUUUCCAUCAUGCUCCAUUCUUGGCCCACAUUGAUCCUACUUGCCUGAAAGGAAAUGAGAGCUUCUGCUGGCCGAUAUCAUUCUUCCCGGUUCCUUGCUGUGACUGCCUCCAAGCUGAGUUUAACCAGGCCACAUAAGCCAGCCCUGCUCUUCCUGUGCCAAGCACCAACCUUUGCUAGAAAGUGUGGAAUUCUCUGCCCAGCUUCCUCUGUCUUGCACCUGAAUUUGCCUUGUGCUGCCAUGCGGGGAGGACUCCAGACACAUCUCUAAUGAUUCAGCAUCAAGUUGACAGCCAGCCCACCAAUCUGGAUCUUCAAUAAAUCAAUUUAGGAUCAACUCCAGAUUUAGAAGCCCUGACAAAAUUCUGGCAUUUGGGUGAGAUCCCAGGACGGAGCUCAGCACAGCAAGGUCAAGUGACAGAGCUUAUAGAUUGUGGGGGCGGGGGGCGUCUAGUAGUGAACUGGAGCACGCAGGGGUUAAUGUAAAAAGGUGGAACCCACAAAAAAUGCUACAUCAUGCAUUGCUGUUUUUAAUGCAUUUUCAGGUUUCCUGCCAGCAUGCAAAACAUCCAUAUAUGACAGCGGGCCAACACAACUCAUCUUUAUACCACCCAAAGAGGAACUGUGCCACAAGUCCCAAAGUAAGAACAAGGGGGUGAGCUCAGCCCCAGGCUACAUGUUGUCACCUGGAAGGAGAGCUGGGCUUGUGGUAACAAGCAUGAAUUGCUCCCUUUGCUAAGCAGGGUCUGCCCUGGUUUGCAUUUGAAUGGGAGACAUGUGUGAGCACUGUAAGAUAUUCCCUUCAGGGGACGGGGCCACACUGGGAAGAACAUCUGCAUACUUGCAUGCAGAAGGUUUCAAGUUCCCUCCCUGGUAUCUCCUGGCUGAGAGAGACUCCUGCCUGCAACCCUGGAGUAGCCACUGCCAGUCUGUGUAUACAAUACUGAGCUGGAUGGACCAAGGGUCUGACUUUGGCAGCUUCCUAUGUCCCUUCCUACAAACAUCUACAUGCAGCAUAUUAUUAAGGAAUAAAGCAUUGACCCAUUUUACAGAUCAGGGGCAUAGCAAGGUUGGAAUGGGCCCAGAGACAAGAUUUUAAAAUGGGCCCCUCGCUGAUAUACACACACAAACACACUCCACAAUAUACAGUGUAUAAUGCAUUCAUACUCCCAUCCCCAUUAUGAAUACAGUGAAUAUCUAGUUCACAUUGAAUCUAGUUCACAGGGGCAGAUCCAGCAGGAAAUUACAGGGGGUGCAACAAGAAUCCCCCCCCCCAUAAAAGAUGCCCCCACCCCAUAUAUAUAUUGGGGCUUGGAUUUUCUCUCUUGCAAAUGCACUAUGCCAGGGGGUGUCCAACUAAAGUUUGGUGGUGGGCCAGAUUAGAUUCUGAUGCACCUCUGGUGAGCCACACAUAGCCUUGUGCCCACCUCAGACCACCUAUCUUCCUCCUCCUCUCUGCUCUUUCUCUCAUCCCCCCUCCCCCACCACCGCCUUAAAUUAGCUGAAUUCACUACUUUUUACACUAAAAUACACUCAGGGAAAGAUUGUGGUUUUAAAAUUUUUUUUAGAAGAAAUUCAGAACAUACCUGCUAAUACCAGCUUUUGCAUGGGAAAUCCUAUCACUCUUCCUCUCUCCCUUACAAAGGUGUUGCUAGGUACUUAAAUGAUCCAGGGCUUGGGCCCACAGCCUCCCCACAUUUGGUAAUGAAACCCUUUCAUGCUAUCUUAAAGGUAUUCAACACUCUCCUCCCCACUAGCUUGCUUCACAGCUAAAAAUGAAUCUCCUUUUUCUCCUGCAUCAGAUUUCUCCUGUAUCCUAUGCACACAGCUGAGAACCAAUGUGGUGUAGUGAUUAGAGUGUCAAGACUAGGACUGGGGGACUUGUGUUCUUCAUUCAGUCAUGAAACUCACUGUGGGACUUUAGCUGAGACACACUCUCUCCCCCCUCCAAACCUGCCUCACAGGAUUGUUGAGGAUAAAAGUGGGGAGGAAGAACAUGUACACUACCCUGACCUCUUUGGAGGAAGAACAGGAUAUGUGUCAAAAAUUUAGCCACAUGCACUCCAAUCUUAAGCAUGUACUCAGAAGCACAUUCAAAUAGCAUUUUUUACACCAAUCACAGCAGCAUGCAAUUCAGUUUGAUCUUUUAUUUAGUACAUUUCAUUUAAGCAAGAAAAUCAUAUGCAAAAACAAAUCAUAUGCAACUAUAGUGUAUGUCUAUAUACUACAGUAUAUAUACAAUGUAUAGUGAGUCUAACGCUACAGAAAGAAAAGCCACCACUUUGAUUUCAAAUAGUACAGCAGAAUGUCAUAUAUGGAGUUACCCCAAUUUUGCAGAAUUUAAAGACAACCAAUCAUUUCAUGUGCAAUUUAAAAAUGAGUUUCUUGUGAACUGAUUUGCAAAGCCUUAUUUUGAAGCAAGUGUAUACACAGUACAAAAAGAGACUUUUGGUGGGGGAGCAUGCUACAAGCACAAAGCAAAAUAAAAUAAAAUAGUAAUGUUUAAAAGGGGAAACAUGUUAAGAGAACCAUUUUCUCAUAUUUUGCUAUUUAAACCAUUGUGAGAACUCUGUUGCUAAAAAAGCAGCAUAUAAAUAUUUUUAAUAAGGGUGGGGGGGGGGGAGAGAAAGCAACACACACAGAGACCAGAUUAGAGCUAUAAGCAGUGUAACUUCAGGAAUAAAAAGGAACAAAAACAAAGACAUCCAUUUUGUCAGAGCAUCCCCCCGCCGCAUUCUUUUCAAAGCUUUUAAUACUUUUGCAUUAACUAAUGUCCUCAGGACAAGGUAUACACAAAAUGUCUUCUUACUUUCAUUCUUGGAGGGAGACCAACAAGCCAACAGCCAGCUUCCUGGGCUCUGCAAUUCCAUACAAAUUCCAAGCGGGGGAGGAGCACAAGAUGCCAGGAGAACCAAUAGGGCUGGGAGAAAAGUUAACUCUUUUUUUGCUCUCUGCUGCCACCGAAGUGCCGAUCUCCAAGAGACUCAAUAUUAAUUAAUAGGGGGUGCAAAAUAGGCAGGUGGGGAGUAACAUGACAUGCCUCUGGGAGGCCCUUGAGGCAGUGGGGCCCCAAGACAACUGGCUCCCCUUGUCUAAUGCUAGUGACGCCCCUGCAACAGAUGGAAAACACUGAGGAAGAGUACCUCUAAUCAGAAGGGCACGCACACACACACCACACACACACCCCUUGGGUUGAUGGCUUGACCGGACAAUGAUAGCAGGUGGCUGUGUGGAAGCUAAGCAUACUAGGUUGUAAGUCCUAUGGAGAUCAAGUGUGAUCAACACAAUACAGCACAGACCCAGUCUAGGAGCUCAUUUCAGAUCAUGAUCUAGUUCAGUGCAUGGUAGUCCUCAUACAUAAGGAGGAUAAAAAACCAAAAGUGACAUAGGAACAUAGGAAGCUGCCAUAUGCUGUGUCAGACCAUAGGUCCAUCUAGCUCGGUAUUGUCUACACAGACUGGCAGUGGCUUCUCCAAGGUUGAGGCAGGAAUAUCUCUCGGCCCUAUCUUGGAGAUGCCAGGGAGGGAACUUGGAACCUUCUGCUCUUCCCAGAGCGGCUUCAUCCCGAGGGGAAUAUCUUGCAGUGCUCACACAUCAAGUCUACCAUUCAUAUGCAACCAGGACAGACCCUGCUUAGCUAUGGGGACAAGUCAUGCUUGCUACUACAAGACCAAGGGCACUGGUGUCACUGUGUGAACAUGGAAAUCCAGGUUCAAAUCCCUCCUCAACUAUGAGCUUCCCUGGUUAUUCUGGGCCAGUCACAAUUUCCCAGCCUAUCUUACAAGCUUUUGUGAAGAUAAAGUAGAUGGGAGAACUGUUACUGUGAGCUCCUUGGAGGAAGGGUAGGAUAAAAACAUCAUCAUCGUCAUCAUCAUCAAUUAACCAGGUCCCAUUGGGUGGGAAAGUACAACGAUAUGGGUACAGUCAGUUGGGGACAAUAUUGGGAGUCCUCAGGAGGUGAAGAGGCAUGGGUUGUUCCCGGGGUCCCAUCUACAGAUGACCCUCUAUUCAAGGUAGAAUAGAUCCUCUGUCCCAUUUUAGCAAGAAAUGAACACAGUAAAAAACAACAACCAUACAAUAAAAUAAAAAUCAAAUAAGAAAGCAAAAGACAACAGAGACUAUCUAAGAGCAGAAAAUGAUUCACCAUCAUGGCUACCUGCACCAGUCAUUCAUCAAAGGUCUGGUGGAACACUUGAGCCAUUAAAACCUUCCUGAAGUCUGAAAGGGAGCACUCUGAACCCCUUGCAGUUGGGAGUCAUAAAACUAGGGCACCACCACAGAGGAAAUCCUGUCCUGUGUGCAUGUCAACCAAGCUUCAGCAAGUGAUGGUAUGUAGAACAGAGCCCUCCCCAAAGAUCUCUUAAAUCAAAAUUUUAUUAGUUUCUAUACAGAGAAUUCGAAAGGUAAGAGAAAAAAUUGAAUCAGAGAGAUUGAAGACAUCUCUAAGUUUCUAUAUACUGUAGUAAAAUACAAUUGAAAAAAUACAGAUUUACUGUCUAUAUCAUAAGAAUUGAUCAUGUAAUAACAAUCAGAUUUAGGACGGGUUUAUGUGUUCUUUCAGAUAUCAAACCGAGUUUCAACCAACAGACAUUAAAUAAUUGCUUCAAUGCAGCUUUUCAUUAGUUAGUACAUUCUAAAAAAAGAGCCAGGGGGAGAGAGAAAGAAAAAGAAGGAAUCUUAAAAUUAUUAUCUUAGAAAGAUUAACAUAAAAAGAUAAGAUUAUGUAUCAUAAAGAGAUGCAUAACCAAAAGACUGUCUGAAACAGUCAGUCUGCAAACUCAACUACAUUGUAAACCAAAAAAUGAAAAAGAUUUUUUGUCAGUCAGCCAGUCCAAUAGUCAGAGCCGUCUAUAAGUUCAAAAAAAGGAAAGGUCAUACAGCCAAAACUUAUUUUGAAUCUAAAAACCAAAAUAUCCACUUUCUUCUAAAUACAUGAAAGCGUGGGUGCCCAAAGGUCAAUGCCCAUCUAGGUUUGAUUCGGUUAGAGAGAAAUUUAACCGUGAACAGUAUUAAAUGCAUAUUCUUUGCCACUUGUAAACCAACCAUGUGCUCAUCACCAAAAUCCGGUAUAUAAACUUGAUUGUCAACACAGUUAACCUGCAGAAUGGGGUUACAUUGUUCGGAUUGUAUUUCCUUUUCCAGAACCAUCUGGGUAAUAAGUACCUAAAUCAGUCUGCGACACAUCCUGAUCUAAAGAUAUCUUUGCACUCAGCUUAUCUAUUUGCAGAGAAAUCUUGUUAAGCUCCUCCACAGCUGUCUGGGGAAAAAAAAAAGAUUGUAAGACAUUGUUUUACAAGCUUAAUGAUCCCUAACCAAAAGUAGUCUUUUAUAAAAGGUUCUUCUUUAAGUGACCGUCUGCAAGAGAGACAAAAAUUGAGAUGGCCAGUCCUUAUUCCCUACUUUGUUUGAGAGAAAUUUUUGUCACAGGGAAUCAAAUGUUCAAUUCUUGUAAGGCCCACAAAGCACUGCCUUUAACAAAACAAAACAAAAAACUAACAAAAAUGCCAAAAAUGAAUUCCCUAGUAAAGAGAGCAUGAAAUAUUCACACACUGGGAAAAUCUCUGACACAUCUAUACUAAAAUAGCAUAGUUCAAUGCAUAUAAGGCUUUUUAGGAAUAAAAAUCAGAUUAAUACAAAUCCAUUGAAUCUGGUAAAUAACAACAAUCCUUCGCAAGAAAAAUGUUCAGUGGCUUUAGACAGAAUGUUUACAAAACAAGCAAACUGUCCCAGGAAAGGGAGUUAUAGCUUUCUCUGAUUGCUUUAUCUUUUUAUGAGUCACAGUCUACAGCUGUUCUACAGGAAGAUAAGGAGGGAUAGUUCUCAUAACAAAAGGUCCAAGGCCUCCAUGAGUUCUUAUGAGAAAAAACAAGGAAAGAUGGGGGAGGAAAUAGAUCUCUGAAGCCAAAAGGUUUCGGCUCCAGCCUUCCAACCGGUCCUGAAAUAGUAGAUAUCCUCAGUUCUGAAAAGAAUAAUAUCCUUCGCUUAACUGCGAUAUAAUGUUCAUAUGACAUCCAUAAAAGAGUUUUUCUUUUUAAUAUAGUAGCAUAAUAGAAUAAUCAUCCAGAAGGCAUUCCCAUAUAGAAAACAGUCUACACCUCUUCCUCUUUGAUGUAUAGCAAGGAAAUUCUCACAGUCAGAAACCUCCCACAGAACAGAGAAAAAUUCCUUCUCUUUCUCAAUGAUCAUCCAUAUGGUAACACUUGGAUAAUAAUCAAAUAACAUGACACCGACAUAUGAUCAGUCCUAAAGUAAUUGGUGUCCUUCACCCUUCUGGCAUAUAAUGUUCCUUGAUGAAACAGACUAAUUGCUUCUUCCUUGUUUAAGAUAGUUACUCAAAGCAGUGCCAUAAGCCAAUCCAGAGAGCUGAGCAGGACUCAUUACCCAAAAGUUAUAAAUCUUUCAUUUAGAUUGUGAAACCAUUUAUUUGCCAAUAAAGUCGUUCUCCAAUUAACCAAAAUAAAGUCACUGACUGAAAGCUGAGUCUACAAUCCAGUUCCGUUCAAUUAAUAACAAUAAAGUUUGACAUCAGAAUCCUCAGACAGCCUGGUUAAGACAGUUGAAGGUUUCUAUAAUCCAUCAAUAACAGACAUCAAGAAAAACAUCAUUGUUAUAGUAAAAUGUUAAUCAUUGUUAAUCAGUAAAAAUCAGUUAAUCAUUGUUAAUCAGUAAAAUGUAAUAAAAUGUUGAUCAUUGCAUCAU